RNAcentral lists this unclassified non-coding RNA (355 nucleotides) under soil metagenome. Its description in RNAcentral is "partial contains 5.8S ribosomal RNA, internal transcribed spacer 2, and large subunit ribosomal RNA". The stretch from base 1 to 120 matches the Rfam family "5.8S ribosomal RNA", at positions 35 to 154 of the family's 154-position model. The record is from RNAcentral.
GAUGAAGAACGUAACGAAAUGCGAUAAGUAAUGUGAAUUGCAGAAUUCAGUGAAUCAUCGAAUCUUUGAACGCACAUUGCGCCCAUUAGUAUUCUAGUGGGCAUGCCUGUUCGAGCGUCAUUAAGUCCACUUAAGCCCUGCUUAGUGUUGGGAGACUGCUCCAGCGGUGCUACCCUGUAGCUACCCUGCAGCUCCUCAAAGACAGCGGCGGAGUUGUGGUAUCCUCUGAGCUUAGUAACUUGUUCUAGCUUUCGAGUACACCACUUCCCCUGCCGUAAAACCCUUAAUUUUUAAUGGUUGACCUCGGAUCAGGUAGGAAUACCCGCUGAACUUAAGCAUAUCAAUAAGCGGAGGA